This 330-nucleotide ribosomal RNA is filed under the name Plateumaris weisei. Its description in RNAcentral is "partial 12S rRNA". The record is from RNAcentral. Lineage: Eukaryota; Metazoa; Arthropoda; Insecta; Coleoptera; Chrysomelidae.
AUUAGUAUAAGUUAUGGUCUUUAAAAUUAAAAAAUUUGGCAGUAUUUUAAUCUUUCAGAGGAACCUGUUUCAUAAUUGAUAGUCCACAAUUAAAAUAAUUUUUUUUUAAUUUAUAUAUCGUUGUAGUUUGAUUAUUCUAAAAGGCUAAUAUUCAAGAUUUAUAAUAAUAAAAAAUAUCAGAUCAAGAUGUAGUGUAUAGAAAAGAGAAAAUGGGUUACAUUAAAUAAAUUUAAGGAAGAUAAUUUUAAAAAUAUUUUAAAUAUGGAUUUGAAAGUAAUUUUAAUUAUAUAAUUAAUAUGAUUAAGAUAUAAAAUAUGUACACAUCGCCCG